Molecule: long non-coding RNA, 146 nt
Organism: Rhodamnia argentea
Lineage: Eukaryota; Viridiplantae; Streptophyta; Magnoliopsida; Myrtales; Myrtaceae
Exons: 3
Source: RefSeq, a predicted model, not a curated record
ACAUUGACAAAUGGGGCAUACUUGUCUAUUUUCUUUAUUAUUUUCUGAAUAGUAGCAAUAAGGGCAAUAUUGUAAUUCUUGGCCUUUUGGCUUUAUUAUAAAUAGAUAGCUUGGGGUCACAUUGACCUAACCAAGCAUUCAGUUCA